CGUGUAGGUGGUUGCUUAAGUCAGAUGUGAAAUCUCCCGCUCAACGGGGAAACUGCAUUUGAUACUGAGCGACUUGAGUGCAGGGGAAGGGAACGGAAUUCUCGGUGUAGCGGUGAAAUGCGUAGAUAUUGAGAAGAACACCUGUGGCGGAGGCGGUUCUCUAUCCUGUAACUGACACUGAGGCGCGAAAGCGUGGGGAGCGAACG
Molecule: ribosomal RNA, 206 nt
Filed under: uncultured bacterium
Lineage: Bacteria
Description: partial 16S ribosomal RNA
Rfam family: Bacterial small subunit ribosomal RNA
Source: RNAcentral